This 211-nucleotide small nuclear RNA is filed under the name Meriones unguiculatus (Mongolian gerbil). RNAcentral's name for it is "7SK RNA (ENSMUGG00000005033.1)". It matches the Rfam family "7SK RNA", at positions 1 to 284 of the family's 331-position model. From Rfam's summary of the family: 7SK was discovered as an abundant small nuclear RNA in the mid-70s but a possible function has only recently been suggested. Two independent studies have found that 7SK RNA binds the CDK9/cyclin T complex (known as elongation factor P-TEFb). Lineage: Eukaryota; Metazoa; Chordata; Mammalia; Rodentia; Muridae. The record is from RNAcentral.
GGGGGUGGGGGUGGGGGAGAGUCCCCUUCCUCCCUUACCACUCCACAUGCAUUUCUCCAGAAGCUGUGUGUGGCAUUGAAGAGAAUAAACCUUCCCUGAACAGAAGAACUGGCCUUCCAUCAAAGGUCCGUGGGUAGCGGUGCUCUCCUGCUAGAACCCCCAAACAAGCUAUCAAAGCUCAAAGGGGUUGGGGGAGUUACCCACAAGGGUA